This is a long non-coding RNA of Cydia fagiglandana, 4837 nucleotides long. RefSeq lists it as uncharacterized. The record is from RefSeq and is a predicted model, not a curated record. NCBI's taxonomy places the organism in Eukaryota, Metazoa, Arthropoda, Insecta, Lepidoptera, Tortricidae. The transcript has 2 exons.
AAAUAUAUGUCGUAGUCGCGUAAAACGGAAAUACAUAGCAUUAUCUAAACUAUAAUAAACAAUGUAUCAUCAUAAUAUGUGUAGUGUUGCUUCUACGGAAUCCCGAUUAUUACGUUUCACAGAGAUAACAUUACAAUCUACGAUGUUAAUACCAUAUUACGCUAAUGAUAACGAGUGAUAAAAAUAUUGGUACAAAGUCCGUACCAUAAUCGAGUUUCAAAAUCGAAUUUUUAUUUGAAACUAGUCGAGUUGCGUUCUCGAGUUCCGUCAAUCAGUACGGAGCUGUCAGUCUCAAUUGUCAAACGUCAAAGCAAAAGCAGUGUUCUUGUUGACUAGUGUUUUGUAAGAAAGAAAGAAUUCACGAGAGAUAAUAAUUUGGUUGCAUAUUUUUUUAUAACUGAGAUCGUAAAUAUUUAUUAUAAUGCCACGUGCUUAUGAGGAUUUUUUUGCUAUUUUACAAUUUCUAAUAAUGUGGUGGUGUCCAAAAGGGAUUACAGUGCUUUAUGGAGGUGAUAUUAAGAACAAUAAAGAGUAAGAAUUGUGUGACGGGUAUGUAACGAAACCCGAUUUAAGUGUCGAUCAAGUCUAUUAAGUACAGUGCAUGAUUUCACGAUAGUUUAUGGGUAAACAAAUGCAUAUUCAUAAAUACGAGAGGCAAUUCAAAGCUAUUCAUAUACCAAAACCACACAUUCAGGUUUAUGUAUAAGAAGGCAUACGGGAGCCAGCUGUGGUAUUGCUGGUACUUCUUCAGCAGAUGUUGUCCGGCGAAACUCCGGAUAAAUGAUGCGGGGAAGGUGACGGAGAGCAUAGGCCGGCAUAACCAUGACCCUCCGACCUGCUGGAUGACUCCCGAUGGCAAGUCAUAUAACUUGCCACCGCUGCCCUGCAAGAACAACGACCGAAGGACGCCAUAAGGCUUCUACAGAUGUUGCAAUGAAUGGCAUGCGAUUUUAAAUAAUUGCUGGCUAAAUAGGAGCAGGCGUGGCUCACUCCGCGAUUUCGUCGGGUCGCUACAAGUACAAGCUGCCCACACCAAUUUUGGUGUCUAGCCAUAGUUGCCCCGCACUGCUACGGAACGGACGCCUGCUCGCACUUGCGCCACCUAGCGGUCAUAUCUGUUGUAAUAGACGCGUUUUGUUAGAGAGUGAACCUUCUGUAAGUACCUAGUACUAUUCUUUAUUCUGUGAAUGUGUUCAGCGAUGAUACCGCAAUGUAUUGCAAAUCGCAUGCGAUUAUUGGUGACAUUUGCAGAGGCCUAAAACCUAAUUUUAUCAUGUGAUGAAAAUAUUUUGUCUAUUUGUUUCACUGCCCUGUAAAUAUGAGAACAAAGUUUAUAUUUAAGUAAAUAUAAUUAUGUUGAGAUUCUAUUUGCCUUUAUAUUUUUAUUGUUAUUAUGAAUUGUUUAACAUUUUUAGAUUAAUUAGGCUUUUAGCAUGUCGUGUCCACAAAUUAUUCAAAGAAUGAGAUAUUUGUUAUUGAUACAUACAGAUUAUCUAAAUUGAUUUUGUAUGUACAUAUUUUAUUUUAUUUGCCAUAAAAAAUAUAAAAAUGUCUGGUUUAAUGCCCAGUGAGACUAAUAUCUCUCACAAAUGUAAUUUUUUUAAGUAAUGGUUAACUGGGUCACAUUUUUGGCGUUUUUAAACAAAAGGUACCUAUCAUUUGUUCUGCUCCUAUUAAUAACGAUUUUUUAACUGUAGGUAAACUGAUAUUGUGGUACCUCUUGGCUUAGAAAACGAUGUUGAUAUUACCUUCAUGACAAGCAUAUAUUAUUUUAUGAAAAUUAUGACUUUGAUUCAGCGUAAAACUACCUACGCUCAAGAGCAAUAAUAUGGGGUCACUUACGUUUGUAUUGCUUAAUUAAUUGCUCCUCAUUGUAAAUGUGUUUAUAAAAAAUAGCCUGUAUCUUCUAUUUACAAUUUAGCUUACAAAAUUAUUCAAACAAGUAAGAAACACGCGGUUAUGACCAGCGGCCCUCGCGCUGCUCUGGUGUGUGAGCGAGACAGCGCUAUGCAAGCGAUGUCUCGCACGUACAGCGGAGGGGCGUGCGAAUAUGCAUUAUGCAUCUAAUGUGAAGACCGCCUUAUGGGGGGUAAGGUAAUAAGGCCCAGCCAUACAAGAAAAAUAAUCAAAAUCGAACGAAAGAAAACAAAUGCAACUCACUCGCAAACGCAAACCGUGAGCCUUAGGGCCACUUGCAUCUUUCACUAACCCGGAGUUAACCGGUUAAAUUAAUGGAGUUACCAUAUGGUUACCAGUACAAUUUGACACUGGGUUAACUGUUUAACCGGUUAUUGGUAUGUAGGGGUUGUGCACAAAUCACGCGAGGUGUUUUCGGCUACUUUUUUACCCCCCCUCCCCCUUAGUGAUAUUUGGUGAGGUUUUUGACAACCCCCCUCCCCCCACACAACCUCACGUAUUUUUUUGAAAUUUUUUCAUUCGACCCAAUUUUAAGAUAAAUAGAUACCCCCCCUCCCCCAACGUGAUCUAUCGUGAUUUUUUCGUCACCCCCCUCCCCCCAUCUGACCUCGCGUGAUUUGUGCACAAGCCCGUAGUGCAAGUGGUCCUUAGGAGGUUAUGAAGGCUGGUGUUAAUUAGCUUACUGCAACAAUGGCGCCCGUUCUUUAUAACUAGUCCAGUAUAUCGUACCUCGCACAAUUCAAGGACCUAUACAAGGUGAGCAACUAGUUAGGUGAGAAAUUUGAAAUGAGUUAAGUUUAGAGUCACACGAACCCGCUACCAAAAAGCCCCAUACAAUCGAAUUAAAGCUCUCAUUUUAAAACGACGUUUAUAUACAAAACUUUGCAGUCAUAAAGUAUUAGUCUAAAAUAUAACGAUUCCAUAUACAGUGUGGCCAAAAAAUAAGUGCAUUCCCGUUGCCAGGGAGGUUUUGGGAUUAUACUGAGCAACUUACUAUGGGAUCUACCAAGAAAUCGCGAAAAAAAAUUUGGCUGCACUGAGAGAAAAGUACAACAAAAACACACUUAGAAUUACAAAAAUAAACUUAAUCCGGGGACAAGGAGAGUCAACGAAUAGGAACAAAUUGACAUUUGCAAUUUCUAUUAUCUUUUUGUUGAAAUUAUAUUUGGGAUUACUGAGCUGUUUGUAGAAAUAAAUAAACUUUACAGAAAUAGUGAAUCGUCCAUAAUUAUUACUAAAACUUCAUUUUUUCCCCCAGUACAGAACUGUUUUUAAUUCCUGGUGAUGAUUUUUCUCUCAGUGUGUUUCAUACAGUUUGGCUAGUCCAUUUUCUAUGUGAGGGUAUUUUUUUUUGCGAUUUCGGAGUUGGUCCCAUAGUGAAAGUUGUUCAUUAUAGUCCCAAAACCUCCCUGGCAACGGGACUGAACUUAUUUUUUGACCAUCCUGUAUAGUCGCACGAGGUCUCAUAUAGAUGCUACAUUAGUAAUAAAGCAGUAUUGUUUAUAUAAGUCAUUAAACUCGUAGUUUUCUACUUUAUAAAACAUACGUUUAUAAGCAAAGGAGUGCUUUUGUAUCGAGAACAAUUUAAUUUUGUCCAGUAGGUAAUACCUUACCUACCUUACCUUUCAAUUCAGUAGGUACCUAAACAAAUUGGAAAUGCAAAAAUAGAGAUGUUCGAUUUAUGUGCCAGUCUAAAAAGACAUACAUAUAUAGGUGCAAUAACGAGUAGCAAUCGUCCUUUGUUAUUUAUAUGAUAAAAUACAAGACAACGAAAAUAAUUUUGAUCCAAAAACUAAAUCUGACAUAAAAUCGGCCCACAUUUGAUUUUUUAAUUUCUAACACUUUUGGAAGAACAAUACGACAAAUGAAAAUUUCUGCGCAUUUUUGUAAGAUGCAUUAUUAAUAUUUGACAGAUAUAAAGUGAUGUUAAAAGUCAUGACAGCAUUUGUUAAGACUCGAGUUCCUCAAAAAUGCAUUAUACAUAUACAUUAAGAGCAAAUGAAUACUAAUUUAAGUUUAGUUUAUUACAUGCAAUACUGUAUAUAUCCUGCAAAGUUGCUUAUAGGUUUAGUUCGAACAGAGCUAAGGCUGUGCCUUUCCACUGAGGCAGAGAUGAGAGACCUGCGGGAAUUAUCCUAUUGGUUGUAAUCCGCCAGAUGUGUGCCAGUGGAGUAACUACGCGUGGGCGAAGUGGGCCGUUGCCCAGGGCCUCACGCCCCAAGAGGGGCCUCGCGCGAGGCCCCUUUUCGGGCACAUUGAAAGAAAAAGGCCUCGUAGAUGCUUCGCCCACGGGUAGUUUAGUUCACGCUACGCCACUGAUGUGUACAAUGAUAUUAGUUCAUUCCCGCACGUCGCCCGUCUCUCCGCCUCAGGUAGCCAGGGCACCUAGCCAACAUGCCAAGUAUACGCUCCGUAGCGAACUAAACAACUAUAGUCAGACCGUAAAAAUCUGCAGCGAUUUUGAUAGCCCACGCAGUGCAAGUGUCAUUUUUAACGUCAAACUUCUAUGAAAUUAUGACGUUUACAUAACACUUACACUGCGUGGGCUAUCAAAUCCGCUGCAGACUUUGUUUGGUGCGACUAUAUGUUUCCAUCGCAACAAUUUGGUAGAGUGAGAGAUCACUACGCUACGGAGCGUAAACGACUGACAUGUUAGCUAAGCACCUUAAGGUUCGAAAUGCAAUCGUCACGGAAAUCAAUCUGUAUAACGAAAAAGCAUUAUUGUGUACACUUAGUACAUUCAGUUUACAACUUGUUACUUAAUAGGUAGUUUAUUUUAAAAAUUUUCAAAAUUUUGCAUAGAUAGUUAACAAAUUUAUAACGUGCCUCUAGUAGGUAGAAUUUAGGAAAAUAAAAAAUUAUAUCGUGCCUUUCUAAAUUGUUUAUAUGUAUGUUUACCAAAUAUAAAACUAAACUGUGA